AAUCGUUGUUUUGAUCACUUGAUUUGUGUGUUUGAUAAGACGGUUGCUUCGAUAUGAUGUCAUAUUGUGUCCGUAGAAGUUGUUGGAACUGAGGUUUAUCCUUGUUUCCUGGGGUUUCAAUGAUUUUCUAAUCAGGUCUUUGGUGUAUAUUGCGAUUUCACUUUGCCCUCUGUUUUUGGUAAUGAUUCUGUUUUUAGCUUUUACACAAUGAUGGGUAAUUUGGAUCAAAAUUUAUCUUAUUUUUGUACUAAGGCAUACGGUUAAGUUUUUUUCUGGGACCUUUUAAAUCACCGUUUUUGGUUUUUUGAUUUACAUGAGGUCACAAAGUUGAAGUGGCCUUUAUUUUUCAUCCUUGG
This 356-nucleotide unclassified non-coding RNA is filed under the name Hevea brasiliensis (rubber tree). The record is from RNAcentral. Lineage: Eukaryota; Viridiplantae; Streptophyta; Magnoliopsida; Malpighiales; Euphorbiaceae.